GUGUCAGCCGCCGCGGUAAUACGUAGGGGGCAAGCGUUGUCCGGAAUAACUGGGCGUAAAGGGCGCGUAGGCGGCUUUUUAAGUCUGGAGUGAAAGUCCCGCUUUUAAGGUGGGAAUUGCUUUGGAAACUGGAGAGCUUGAGUGCAGAAGAGGUAAGUGGAAUUCCCAGUGUAGCGGUGAAAUGCGUAGAGAUUGGGAGGAACACCAGUGGCGAAGGCGACUUACUGGGCUGUAACUGACGCUGAGGCGCGAAAGCGUGGGUAGCAAACAGGAUUAGAAACCCGCGUAGUCC
Molecule: ribosomal RNA, 292 nt
Filed under: uncultured bacterium
Lineage: Bacteria
Description: partial 16S ribosomal RNA
Rfam family: Bacterial small subunit ribosomal RNA
Source: RNAcentral